This is a non-coding RNA of Bubalus bubalis (water buffalo), 1024 nucleotides long. The record is from the annotation of a RefSeq genome assembly. NCBI's taxonomy places the organism in Eukaryota, Metazoa, Chordata, Mammalia, Artiodactyla, Bovidae.
UUUUAAUAUGCUGCCUAGGUCGGUCAUAUGUGAACUGCUCACUUAGGUUCAUUUCUGAUUUGAGCCUCUAGGGGAAGAGGCGUGGCCCUGAGUUACAGGUUAGCUCUGGGGUAUGGCAGGGGCAGUGACCUCUCAGAGGGAGAGCCCCUCUGGAGAGCCCCUCGCCCUCUCAUCCACACUCAGACCAGACAGCCCUCCGCCUGCCCCGCCCCGGCCAUGAGCCUCUGCCUCCUGGGUUGUGUGGUCUUCUGUCUCCUGCAGGCAGGGGCGGUCCAUGCUGGGGUCACUCAGGACCCCAGAUUCCAGGUCGUGAGGACAGGACAGAACACGACACUGACAUGUACUCAGAAUCUGGGUCAUAACUACAUGUGCUGGUACCGACAAGACCCGGGACACGGGCUGAGGCUGAUCCAUUACUCAGCUCGACCUUCCAGCACGGAGAAAGGAGACGUGCCCGACGGGUACAGCGUCUCCAGAUCAAGCAAAGAUAGCUUUCCUCUCACGCUGGAGUCUGCCAACCACUCCCAGACAUCUGUGUACUUCUGUGCCAGCAGUUACUCACAGCGCUGCAUGGCCACCUGCUCCCUGUGCAAAAAGACAGGGUCCCACGUGCAGGCACCUAGCACCAGGAGCCUCAGAGCCCUGGGACCAGGUGCCAGCACUGUGACCCCAGAUGUGUGAUAUGAACAGGCCUGGAUCUGACCCCAGGGACUCGGAGACACAUGUCCACCAUCAAUCUCUGUCUUUCCUUUGCAUCCUCCCUGGAUGCAGUUUGAAAAGCAUCCAGUUCUGACUAGUUCUGACUCUUCCUCAUCAGCUUAAGACCUCCAGAAGGGCAAAAUAUUAGUAAAUCAGAUAUAUCUAGACCCUCUUGUCUCUUCCAGCACUUCAUUGCUGUCUGUCUGGAAGCUUCUCCCACAGCCUAGCUCUCAAGUGCCCCCUGCUCUUGCCCACCAGAGGGGCGGGUCUUUCCCCCUUUACUGCCUUGGCCUCAGCUCCCCUGCCCUCUCUGCUCCAGACACAC